RNAcentral lists this ribosomal RNA (554 nucleotides) under uncultured bacterium. RNAcentral's name for it is "partial 16S ribosomal RNA". It matches the Rfam family "Bacterial small subunit ribosomal RNA", at positions 355 to 914 of the family's 1533-position model. The record is from RNAcentral.
UGGGGAAUAUUGGACAAUGGGCGGAAGCCUGAUCCAGCAACGCCGCGUGAGGGAUGACGGCCUUCGGGUUGUAAACCUCUUUCAGUACCGACGAAGCGGAAGUGACGGUAGGUACAGAAGAAGCACCGGCCAACUACGUGCCAGCAGCCGCGGUAAUACGUAGGGUGCGAGCGUUGUCCGGAAUUAUUGGGCGUAAAGGGCUCGUAGGCGGUUUGUCGCGUCGGGAGUGAAAACACUGGGCUUAACUCAGUGCUUGCUUCCGAUACGGGCAGACUAGAGGCAUGCAGGGGAGAACGGAAUUCCUGGUGUAGCGGUGAAAUGCGCAGAUAUCAGGAGGAACACCGGUGGCGAAGGCGGUUCUCUGGGCAUGUCCUGACGCUGAGGAGCGAAAAGUGUGGGGAGCGAACAGGAUUAGAUACCCUGGUAGUCCACACCGUAAAACGUUGGGCGCUAGGUGUGGGGGCCUAUUCCAUGGGUUCCGUGCCGCAGCUAACGCAUUAAGCGCCCCGCCUGGGGAGUACGGCCGCAAGGCUAAAAACUCAAAAGGAAUUGAC